RNAcentral lists this small nucleolar RNA (129 nucleotides) under Carlito syrichta (Philippine tarsier). Its description in RNAcentral is "Small Cajal body specific RNA 11 (ENSTSYG00000032173.1)". It matches the Rfam family "Small Cajal body specific RNA 11". From Rfam's summary of the family: scaRNAs are a specific class of small nuclear RNAs which localise to the Cajal bodies and guide the modification of RNA polymerase II transcribed spliceosomal RNAs U1, U2, U4, U5 and U12. The record is from Rfam by way of RNAcentral. Lineage: Eukaryota; Metazoa; Chordata; Mammalia; Primates; Tarsiidae.
CUGUCCUGGCCUAUGCUUUUCUGUUGCCCUGGGCUCAGAUGUCCAGAGUAGUCUGGAAGAACACAGCAGUCUCCUUCCUGGUUUAGGAGGGUCCUCCGAAGAAUAGGGCUGUAGGAGUUUGAGACCAGU